This 619-nucleotide ribosomal RNA is filed under the name uncultured fungus. RNAcentral describes it as "eukaryotic LSU rRNA". It matches the Rfam family "Eukaryotic large subunit ribosomal RNA", at positions 24 to 664 of the family's 3401-position model. Lineage: Eukaryota; Fungi. The record is from RNAcentral.
CCCGCUGAACUUAAGCAUAUCAAUAAGCGGAGGAAAAGAAACCAACAGGGAUUGCCUCAGUAACGGCGAGUGAAGCGGCAACAGCUCAAAUUUGAAAUCUGGCCUUCGGGUCCGAAUUGUAAUUUGUAGAGGAUGCUUUUGGUUAGGUACCUUUCGAGUUCCUUGGAACAGGACGCCUUAGAGGGUGAGAGCCCCGUACGAUUGGAUACCGAGCCUUUGUAAAGCUCCUUCGACGAGUCGAGUAGUUUGGGAAUGCUGCUCUAAAUGGGAGGUAAAUUUCUUCUAAAGCUAAAUACCGGCCAGAGACCGAUAGCGCACAAGUAGAGUGAUCGAAAGAUGAAAAGCACUUUGAACAGAGAGUUAAAUAGUACGUGAAAUUGUUGAAAGGGAAGGGCUUAUGACCAGACCUUUGCUUUGCGGAUCAUCCAGUGUUCUCACUGGUGCACUUCGCUAAGUUGAGGCCAGCAUCGAUUCUGGAAGUGGGGAUAAAGGCUCUGGGAAUGUGACUCUUCGUGAGUGUUAUAGCCCUAGUGCGUAAUGCCCUCUACUGGGAUCGAGGACCGCGCUUUUGCAUAGGAUGCUGGCAUAAUGGUCAUCAGCCACCCGUCUUGAAACACGG